This 502-nucleotide ribosomal RNA is filed under the name uncultured bacterium. RNAcentral describes it as "partial 16S ribosomal RNA". It matches the Rfam family "Bacterial small subunit ribosomal RNA", at positions 28 to 507 of the family's 1533-position model. The record is from RNAcentral.
GAUUAACGCUGGCGGCGUGCCUAACACAUGCAAGUCGAGCGGCAGCGAGUUUUACACUGUAUUCUGGACGCUUCUAGUUGAAAGAGAAGAGUUAUUCAAGAAUUUUGUGUAAAAUGUCGGCGAGCGGCGGACGGCUGAGUAACGCGUGGGAACGUACCCCAAAGUGAGGGAUCACGCAUCGAAAGGUGUGCUAAUACCGCAUAUGGUCUUCGGAUUAAAGCCUUCGGGCGCUUUGGGAACGGCCUGCGUAAGAUUAGAUAGUUGGUGGGGUAAUGGCCUACCAAGUGGACGAUCGUUAACUGGUUAGAGAGGAUGAUCAGUCAGACUGGAACUGAGACACGGUACAGACUCCUACGGGAAGAAGCAGUGAGGAAUCUUCCAGAAUGGGCGAAAGGCUGAUGGAGCAACGCCGCGUGCAGGAUGAAGGCCUUAGGGUAGUAAACUGCUAUUAUAAGUGAGGCUUAUGACAGUAACUAAUGAAUAAGGAUCGGCUAACUACGUG